Molecule: ribosomal RNA, 274 nt
Filed under: uncultured bacterium
Lineage: Bacteria
Description: partial 16S ribosomal RNA
Rfam family: Bacterial small subunit ribosomal RNA
Source: RNAcentral
AUACGGAGGGUCCAAGCGUUAUCCGGAAUCAUUGGGUUUAAAGGGUGCGCAGGCGGUUUAUUAAGUCAGUGGUGAAAUCUCGAGGCUCAACCUCGAAACUGCCAUUGAUACUGAUAAACUUGAGUUCAGUUGGAGUAGGCGGAAUGUGUGGUGUAGCGGUGAAAUGCUUAGAUAUUACACAGAACACCGAUAGCGAAGGCAGCUUACUAAACUGAUACUGACGCUGAGGCACGAAAGCGUGGGGAGCGAACAGGAUUAGAUACCCUAGUAGUCC